RNAcentral lists this ribosomal RNA (497 nucleotides) under uncultured bacterium. RNAcentral's name for it is "partial 16S ribosomal RNA". It matches the Rfam family "Bacterial small subunit ribosomal RNA", at positions 28 to 507 of the family's 1533-position model. The record is from RNAcentral.
GAUGAACGCUGGCGGCGUGCCUAAUACAUGCAAGUCGAGCGAAAAGACGAGGAGCUUGCUCCUCUGACGUUAGCGGCGGACGGGUGAGUAACACGUGGAUAACCUACCUAUAAGACUGGGAUAACUUCGGGAAACCGGAGCUAAUACCGGAUAAUAUAUUGAACCGCAUGGUUCAAUAGUGAAAGACGGUUUUGCUGUCACUAUUAGAUGGAUCCGCGCCGCAUUAGCUAGUUGGUAAGGUAACGGCUUACCAAGGCAACGAUGCGUAGCCGACCUGAGAGGGUGAUCGGCCACACUGGAACUGAGACACGGUCCAGACUCCUACGGGAGGCAGCAGUAGGGAAUCUUCCGCAAUGGGCGAAAGCUUGACGGAGCAACGCCGCGUGAGUGAUGAAGGUCUUCGGAUCGUAAAACUCUGUUAUUAGGGAAGAACAAAUGUGUAAGUAACUAUGCACGUCUUGACGGUACCUAAUCAGAAAGCCACGGCUAACUACGUG